Molecule: ribosomal RNA, 496 nt
Filed under: uncultured bacterium
Lineage: Bacteria
Description: partial 16S ribosomal RNA
Rfam family: Bacterial small subunit ribosomal RNA
Source: RNAcentral
GACGAACGCUGGCGGCGUGCCUAAUACAUGCAAGUUGAGCGCUGAAGGUUGGUACUUGUACCAACUGGAUGAGCAGCGAACGGGUGAGUAACGCGUGGGGAAUCUGCCUUUGAGCGGGGGACAACAUUUGGAAACGAAUGCUAAUACCGCAUAAAAACUUUAAACACAAGUUUUAAGUUUGAAAGAUGCAAUUGCAUCACUCAAAGAUGAUCCCGCGUUGUAUUAGCUAGUUGGUGAGGUAAAGGCUCACCAAGGCGAUGAUACAUAGCCGACCUGAGAGGGUGAUCGGCCACAUUGGGACUGAGACACGGCCCAAACUCCUACGGGAGGCGGCAGUAGGGAAUCUUCGGCAAUGGAGGAAAGUCUGACCGAGCAACGCCGCGUAAGUGAGAAGGGUUUUCGGAUCGAAAAACUCGGUUGGUAGGAAGGACCGUGGGUGGGAGUGGAAAGCCCAUAAAGGAAGGGUAACAACCAAGAAGGGAACGCCUAACUACGG